Molecule: long non-coding RNA, 721 nt
Filed under: Mytilus galloprovincialis (Mediterranean mussel)
Lineage: Eukaryota; Metazoa; Mollusca; Bivalvia; Mytilida; Mytilidae
Source: RNAcentral
UGUCGUUAACUAUUCUGAUUUAAAAAUAUUUAUUAAUUAAAAUCUUUUACUUGAAAAAUAAAAUCUACUUUUAAAAUAAACUCAUCAUUAAUACCAUGAUUCCAAUAUUGUAAGCCAGACGCGUAUUUCGUCUUCAAACGACUCACCAAGAACGUCGGCUAAAAGAAUUUAAAAAAAGGAAUAAAAAAAAAGCACAUUGAGGACGCAGAAUUCCGAAGGAGUCUGCCUUUACAGCAAAGGCUAUCUAUUCUUCUUUUUAUUUCUUUUUAUUAAGUACCAAGUUGAAGCGCAUGGAUGACCUUAAACUCCGAAAGGAUUUGGCUAAUGUAGUUAAGGUAAUCUAUGUUUUGGAUAGAAAAAUCCAUAUAAAAUUAUAUAAUAGUUUUCGUGGUCCUCUCGAUUUUUUUACAUUUUAGAUUUUAACAUCGAGUUCAUUGAAAUGAACUGGGAAAACAUCAAUCGACUUUUUUUUUCUGAACCGCGGGCUUUAAAUGUCAGGACUACAAAUCAUACGCCCAACUUCAUUAGAAACGGAAUGCAAAUCCAUUAUUACAUCAGAUAAUCGAAAAUUUUCAACAAAGACAACGGAACUAACUAAUAAUGACAGGUACAAAUUUAGAAAGAACAUGUCUUCUCUCUAAAAAAAACUUGAACAAUUGCAACAAAAAAAAAAAAAAAUAAUAAAAAAAAAAAAAAAAAUUGGUCGUUGGCCCAGACGGAC